UCGAGAAAUUGCUGUCUUAUCCGAUCCAAUUGCACAGCCCAGCGUUCAUUGGCAAGCACAUACACGCAGAAAACAAAACGAUUUAAUGCGUUGGAGAGGAUACCAUCAUCAAUAGGCACAUCGCCCACAUUUCCUUGCCGGAAAAGGAAAAACUGGUCGUACCAUUCGAGUCGAUGGUGUAAAUACCCGGCUGACGGGACCAUUGGACGACUGUGAAUGACACGUCUCCAUCAGAUGCAGUUGACAGGGCGCUAAGUAUGAGGUCGUUCAUGCCUUGAAAUCGAGUGCGCCCGAAUCCCAUCCCCCUUUGUACAUUCCGAGGAGAUAACAGAGCUUGGGUUCUUCCGGGUAAAGCAAUAUGUUGAUUCGAAUUAGGCUCUGCUUCCGGCUACUAGAGCUCCUGCUGCUACUGCCAGUGAUAUUCCAAUCAGGUAUCCAUACAAUGUUCAUGGCGGGAUUUUGGGUUGUGCCCUCCGAUCAGGAUCAUUACAUUCUGGAGUGAGUACCGUUUUCAAUGAGGUCCAAGUUGGGGACAGUAAACCAAAAACAGUUUUUCUGAGCGCGACGACAACAAGCUGCAGUCUCUUUGAAGACAUGAGCUUAAAAGACUGCAAUAGUGGCAAGCUGCCAUCUAUAUGAUCUGUAAAGGAGUUGUGCUUAGCAACGGUCGUUUCUUAUGUAUGUAAACCACGAUCCUGUCUCGAAUUUCAUCGUCUGACCUUUGUUUGUACCUAUCUGCUAGUAUGUAAACCAAGAUCCUGUCUCGAAUUUCACUGCCCAACCUUUGUUUGUACCUAUCCGCUUGGUCUAUCUUUGGUCCCUCCACAGAUUAGGCCACUGAUGUGUUCACCUGGCUGCUUUCAUGACCUUGAGAAUCACCUUGGUUUUGAGAUUC
Long non-coding RNA from Eucalyptus grandis, 895 nucleotides. RefSeq lists it as uncharacterized. NCBI's taxonomy places the organism in Eukaryota, Viridiplantae, Streptophyta, Magnoliopsida, Myrtales, Myrtaceae. The transcript has 2 exons. The record is from RefSeq and is a predicted model, not a curated record.